AGCUGGGCGCUGGUGGCUCAUGCCUGUAAUCCUAGCUACUCAGGAGGUUGAGAUCUGAGGAUUUCUAUUCAAACGCAGCCCCAGCAGAAAA
Long non-coding RNA from Dipodomys spectabilis (banner-tailed kangaroo rat), 91 nucleotides. RefSeq lists it as uncharacterized. Lineage: Eukaryota; Metazoa; Chordata; Mammalia; Rodentia; Heteromyidae. The record is from RefSeq and is a predicted model, not a curated record. The transcript is spliced from 3 exons.